UUUUCAGCUGGUAGAGCAUGAGACUCUUAAUCUCAAGGUCAUGGGUUUGAGCCCAACAUUGGGCAAAA
Molecule: non-coding RNA, 68 nt
Organism: Podarcis lilfordi (Lilford's wall lizard)
Lineage: Eukaryota; Metazoa; Chordata; Lepidosauria; Squamata; Lacertidae
Source: the annotation of a GenBank genome assembly